UUCGUGUGUAUGAUUAGACCCAGACAUGUUGAGAACUGACUUGAAGUUUCUUCCUCUGUGUUGCCGUUUCAUUUAUUUAUUUAUUAGUGUUUGGCGGUUGUUGGCGCCACUGACUCUUCCUGCUGCGUCACUACUUCCGUGUGUCGCGUUCCAUCUAAAAGGGAUAGACCUUUGGGAUAAACAUGACCUGGAUGAACGAGAACCUUCACAGACAUCGACCACGUCUAUUCUUUCUCUACCUUCAGCUGUGCACUGCGCUUCAUCAGCUAAAUCCAGAGUGACAGCGUGUCUCAUGACUGUACCUAUAUCCAUAACUUGGAGCACUGCAUUUGACAAACACCAGGCGCUGAUCAUCACCUGGUUAAAGGUGUCGCCAAGGGGACACAUUGCCAGAGAGCUUGAGAGGAUCUGUGGGGAAGAAUGGGAUAAACUGCUCUAAUCCAGGUGUGCAAAGCAUGUAGAGGCUUGACAAAGAAGAGCCAACACUGUAAUUGUUGCCAAAGGUAUUCUACAAUGAAAUGUAUUAAGAGUCUCAAUACUUGAGUAAAUACACUUUGGAUUUUUUCAUUAUACAUUUUACAUCUCUUUGCAUUGUAAUUAUAGAUCAAUUUUUGUGGGUUGGCAGAAAAGUGAACUUUACCAACUGUAAACAAAAUAUUCUGUUUGUGCUCAAACUGAAGCUAAAGGGUUUGAAUCUUUCUAUUUUUUUCUACACGUUUUCAGGGACAGGAAAGCUGUCUGCUGUGGUUCUAAUCUAUUAUCAUAUAGUUUGGAUCCUCAACUCACAUAACCCAGCCACCUUAGGUACUUCAGUGUGUCUCUGCAGAAGAGCUUAUUUACUUAUUUCAUAAAAAGCACGCUGAUGCACAUAAUACGAUGCCAGAAUCUGCCUCUGGGUCUGUUCACCAGUUAAGGAUUGCUGUUGUACAGAAGAAGAUGCCGUAAUGUGUCUUUGUCCUAUUUGCCAGGGUUUAGUGAAGCUGAGUUUGUCUGUGCAGUGAACAUAACGGUUUCCUCCUUCACAUCUCUGAUGUUUGUUUAUGUUGGUUUGGUUGCUAAACCAUUUGUAGCAUAAGUAAUAACUAAUCAUUUCUCCUUUUGAUUCUUCAGUCUUGGCAGAUAGAUUUACCAGCUCUGGCUUGACCACAGUGCGUAAUGAUCUUAACCGAUCAGUGUUAGUUAAAUUUGACUUUGAAACACUCGGCCUGUUUAUCAGUUUCUGAGGCACUGUAUUGACUCUUAAAUUGAUCUUAAGGCUGCGGGUGUUGCCCAGGUCUUAGGGGUCCAUAAUUUACACAUUUGAAUAAAAGCUGUAUUUUUUUGGUCUUCUGAACUGUUUCUAGCUCGUCAUUAAUCGAACGCCUGCUACAAGCUAUAGUCUCAGUAUUCACAAGCAUCCCUUCUUGUGUUAAAAUAAGUCUCUUGACAAAUUACAGUAAGUCAUUAUUUAUACUUGGCUUAAUGAAGGCAAACAUAUUUGUUUUGUAGAUAUUAUGUACUUUUCUGCAUCUACAGUAAUGGGAUGUUUUGCCUUUUAUGAGCUGUGACGCCGCUAAAGUCUGCAUAUUUUUUUCUGCCAAUGAGUUGCUUUCUAUUGAUAAAGUAAUCACACAUCAUUCAUCCAUAUCAGUCUCUCCUCCCAGCUUCUUCAUGCUGUUUUCACUACAGAAUCGAUUUUAAAGUUUCAGUGAUUACUCGGCUCAGCUUUAUGUGGCUGCCUGCCUCAAGAUGCUGGAGCAUAGCUGUAAUUCUAUAACGUGUGGCCUGCAAGUUUUACUUGCUUGAAAUUGAAGAAUAAAAAAAAUCCCACCUUUUUAAACACUAUUAUAGACAAGCUACUGGAGAUUUUCCAGUGCCUGCUGUGUUUACAGCACAGCUGCAGUGGAGUAGUGAAAUGAAAAUUUCAUCGGUCACAGUAGAUGGACAGUUUUCAGUCAUUCAGGGCAAAAGGACAGGGAUAAAAAGGAUAAUUAGCCCUGAAAAAUCAUAACAUACACCAACAAACAUGUUUUAUUUAUGAAGAUCGUCCUGAUUUAUCCAUCCAAAGCUUGUGUGUCUAAACAAAUAACAUGUGCAACAAUGGUUCUGUGUCAGCUUUGGUAGUCUGUGAUUUCCAGGUUGGAUUUUGUUGAAGAAUUCUGACCAGUGAUCUGUAUGUUUCUAAACAAAGCCUGAAUUUUAAUAAAUGAUUGUCUAACAAUAACUCCAUGAAAAUCAGAUGUAUUCUUCUACCAAGUCACCUACUGAGUCACAGCAACAUCUAACCUGAGAUUAUGUCUCCACCUGAGCCUCCCACUGUCUCUGCUGUGUUUACAACACUAUGAAUUAGACAUUACACAAAAACUAAACUAUUCAUGUAACAUAAUCUCUGGCCGCAUCUUCAAACUCAGAAGAAUCACCUGAGCUGGCAAUGUUUGAUUUUCACACAUGAAGUAUAGAAUUUAUAGACAAGCUGAGAAAAUGUGUCCGCUCUAAAAACAGGUGUUGUUCUACCAGAUGUUCUCAGGCAGCUGACUGCAGUUUCACUGUGUGGCUGUAUGCAAAUCAAUGCUCUAUACAAUUAAACGUGAUUUAACCAACUUUAAAUCGC
Betta splendens (Siamese fighting fish) is the source of this 2590-nucleotide long non-coding RNA. RefSeq lists it as uncharacterized. NCBI's taxonomy places the organism in Eukaryota, Metazoa, Chordata, Actinopteri, Anabantiformes, Osphronemidae. The transcript is spliced from 4 exons. The record is from RefSeq and is a predicted model, not a curated record.